Molecule: long non-coding RNA, 807 nt
Filed under: Eucalyptus grandis
Lineage: Eukaryota; Viridiplantae; Streptophyta; Magnoliopsida; Myrtales; Myrtaceae
Description: long non-coding RNA (EGRA_LNC001349)
Source: RNAcentral
UCGAUCCGAUCUCACCCACACCUUUCUUUCAUUUCCAUCAACCCUGCAAAACCCCACCGAACAGCUUUCUUUCCUUUCAUUUGUAUUUUCCUUUCAUCUACUCUUCAACGCCUACAAGCCGUCCAAGUCUCCUGCUCCAUUUCAUCCCAACAUGCAACGUGUUCCAGUCAACCAGCAAAAAUUGGGUUGACUCCUCUUGGUGCGCUCCACGACCAGCAUCGAUCAAACUGCUUCUUCUCACCGAAGGCCAAAGCCCACGUCCGUGAGCCUCACGCUCCAGCUGCCACGUCCGCGGUCUGCCUUUCUUCGGUCAACACCAGCGGCCAGUGGACCGCGCGCCCCUACUACCAGCGAUCGUGGCCAUCUCCGCUUUGCUUUCUCGCUGUCACCGAACGACCCAGCAGCGUCCUCGUGUCUUCUCCAAUUUCAUCAAGCUGCCCGCGCGUGACACCAGCUCGCCAGCAAGCUGCAGCAGCGCACGAAGCAAGCCGUGAAUUCGUGCGUCUUCGGCCCAGCAAAAUCGUCAACAGCUCACGCAUUUCACGGGCCCAGCAAAGCCAGCAACUCGGCCCAAGAUUUUAACACUUUGGCCCGCUUGAAGCCAGCCCACAUUUCAGCCAAGAUCAGCCCACAAAUGCAAGUACAGCAGCCCAUUUUUUUUUUUCCCAUUUGAAGCCCACGAAAAUUGCAUCAGUUCAGCCCGGUUUCUUGAAGCCCAGCAAUUUAGCUCGUCGGCCCAAGAAGUAGGCCCAAGCCCAGAUUUUUGCUGUGGGCUUGCGAGGUUUCUUGGCGCGGCCCGAGUGUCCA